AUGUUAAAAAUACACUUAGUGCAGCUAAAACAAAUUAUUUUCUUUCUGCUCCGCCCUCUCAGGGCCCCCAAGGACCACAGGGACGCAAUGGAGAGCCAGGACACAAGGGACCAACAGGCCCCCCAGGAAAGGAUGGAUUGCCGGGUCAUCCAGGCCAGCGUGGGGAGCCAGGAUUCCAAGGAAAAACAGGAGCCCCGGGCCCCGCUGGAGUGGUCGGACCACAGGGCAAAACUGGAGAAACUGGACCAACAGGAGACAGAGGCCACCCUGGAUCACCUGGGCCUCCUGGAGAGCAAGGUUUGCCUGGAUCUGCAGGCAAAGAAGGUGGCAAGGGCGAUCCGGGCCCUAUAGGGACCGUGGGGAAGAGCGGCCCGGCCGGGCGCCGCGGAUUCAGAGGAAACCGAGGGAUGCCGGGCGCCAUGGGUGCUGCCGGACUAAAAGGUGAAGAAGGACCUUCUGGAGCUGCGGGAGCAAUCGUAAGUAUCUUUAGGAAUACUGUUAGAAAGACCUGAACCUCAACUUAUUGGCAAAACUUU
RNAcentral lists this long non-coding RNA (536 nucleotides) under Astyanax mexicanus (Mexican tetra). RNAcentral describes it as "lncRNA (ENSAMXG00005015781.1)". Lineage: Eukaryota; Metazoa; Chordata; Actinopteri; Characiformes; Acestrorhamphidae. The record is from RNAcentral.